GUGUGCAGUUCAGCCUCUGAGGAGACUACGAGACCACGGUUAGAGAUCUUAACAGAACGGAGACAUUUUCAGGGAUUACAAAGACAAGGCCAAGGGUACCACAAACAUGAAUUUCUUCCCCAGUCCAUUGGCACUAGACAGCAGCAAACAGCUUCAGAAGUUAAGUCUUGUUUCCAUCCUUUGGGUAUGUAGUUUCCACA
Molecule: long non-coding RNA, 200 nt
Filed under: Dasypus novemcinctus (nine-banded armadillo)
Lineage: Eukaryota; Metazoa; Chordata; Mammalia; Cingulata; Dasypodidae
Description: lncRNA (ENSDNOG00000052089.1)
Source: RNAcentral